This 405-nucleotide unclassified non-coding RNA is filed under the name soil metagenome. RNAcentral's name for it is "partial contains 5.8S ribosomal RNA, internal transcribed spacer 2, and large subunit ribosomal RNA". The stretch from base 1 to 121 matches the Rfam family "5.8S ribosomal RNA", at positions 35 to 154 of the family's 154-position model. The record is from RNAcentral.
GAUGAAGAACGUAGUGAAAUGCGAUAAGUAAUGUGAAUUGCAGAAUUCAGUGAAUCAUCGAAUCUUUGAACGCACCUUGCGCCCUUUGGCCAUUCCGAAGGGCAUGCCUGUUUGAGUAUCAUGAACACCUCAACUCUUUAUGGUUUUCCAUGAUGAGCUUGGACUCUGGGGGUUUUGCUGGCUCACAGUCGGCUCCUCUAAAAUGAAUCAGCUUACCAGUGUUUGGUGGGUAUCAUGGGUGUGAUAACUAUCUACGCUUGUGGUUGUUCCACCAGGUAACCUUCAGCAGUGGAGGUUCGCUGGAGCUCAUAGAUGUCUCUCCUCAGUGAGGACAGCCCUUUGAAUGUUUGAUCUCAAAUCAGGUAGGACUACCCGCUGAACUUAAGCAUAUCAAUAAGCGGAGGA